RNAcentral lists this long non-coding RNA (596 nucleotides) under Nicotiana benthamiana. Its description in RNAcentral is "long non-coding RNA (NBEN_LNC035084)". The record is from RNAcentral. Lineage: Eukaryota; Viridiplantae; Streptophyta; Magnoliopsida; Solanales; Solanaceae.
UUUCUUCCUAUUCUCUCUUCUGCUUUUUGUGGGUGUGUGUGGGUGUGUUCAUUUUUCUUGGACAGGUGCCUUAUUUUUCCGGCGAGGAUUUCUGGCAAGCUACAGUACUUCCGGCGACUCCCGCUCAGACUUUCGGCAGGAUGCAGCAGAAUUACACAUUCCGAUAAGCUUCAGGAAAACUUGCACUAGGUACUAGUUGCUGCAGCGAGGCCAGUUCGCGGCGUUUGGGAGUGAAGAGCUAAGCAACACCGGCCGUGACGUGCAAGAGUCGGUAGCAGUUGACCUUGGGCGCAUCAAAGCCUACAUUCAGGUUUUUCCACCAGGAGUUGGUACCUCCCGUUCUCUUGUUUACUUUGUACAUUUUUUUACGUAUUUUAGCUAGCAUUCCGUGUGAGGUUUACUCUGUUGCUUUCUAGUAAUUCCGUGUGAGGUUUACUCUGUUGCUAUCUCGUUUGCAUCUUUUUGCAUAUUCCGCUAUAGUGCGUGUGUGUCACUAUUCUCCAUAGUCGGUUGGAGGGAUAGUGGCCAUGGGGGGAUGAUAGUGUAAGGUCAUGUCCUCAGGGGGUGGGGGUGGCAGGGGUGAGUAGGGGGCAGGG